This 245-nucleotide ribosomal RNA is filed under the name uncultured bacterium. Its description in RNAcentral is "partial small subunit ribosomal RNA". It matches the Rfam family "Bacterial small subunit ribosomal RNA", at positions 26 to 285 of the family's 1533-position model. The record is from RNAcentral.
AGAAUCAACGCUGGCGGCGUGCCUAACACAUGCAAGUCGAACGAGAAAGUGGAGCAAUCCACGAGUAAAGUGGCGCACGGGUGAGUAACACGUGACUAACCUACCCUUGAGUGGGGGAUAACCUAGAGAAAUCUGGGCUAAUACCGCAUAAUACCUUCGGGUCAAAGGAGCAAUUCGCUUAAGGAGGGGGUCGCGGCCGAUUAGUUAGUUGGCGGGGUAAUGGCCUACCAAGACUAUGAUCGGUA